This 1033-nucleotide long non-coding RNA is filed under the name Vulpes vulpes (red fox). Its description in RNAcentral is "lncRNA (ENSVVUG00000016223.1)". The record is from RNAcentral. Lineage: Eukaryota; Metazoa; Chordata; Mammalia; Carnivora; Canidae.
UGGGGAGGAACAGGAAUUCCAAACAAUGUAUAGGGAGGGGCAAAGACUUACAAAAGCAUGGAAUGUUUAGCAAAUGCAAAUAGCUAGGUUUAAGGUGGAACCUAUUCAUUUAUCAAUUUAUUCAACAAGUAAUAAUUGAAUAUUUUUUGUUUCAAACACUGGGCCAGGUAGACAUUGGGGGCACCAAGAUUAUCAGUGUUAGCUUUGCCUCAAAUACUGAUCAUAAUAACAGCAGAUAUUUUUUGAAUGCUUAUUAUGCAUUAACUUACAUAUUCCUCCUAACAGUUGUGUGAGUGGGCACCACUCUUAUUUCCUUUACAAAUGAUGAAAUUGAAACUGAGAGAGUUUCAAGGACUUGUCCAUGGCCACACAUUUAUCACACAGUGGAGCUCCUGGCACUUACAGUCCAGCAGAAGAAACAAAGAGGCAUGAUUACAAAGCAGGAUGAGUCUAGGAUGGAAACAGAGGGGGGCCUGGAAGAGGUCAAGGAAGACUUUUCAGAGAAGGGAACUGCUGAGCCCUGGAGGAUGUGGCAGACGUGGAAUGUGGAGGUGUGGGGAAGAAAGAAAUGGGCUUUAUGACAACAGAUGUUAGAGCUUGUAAGGUUGGUUGGGGUCACUUUAUGAAAAGUGCAUGAACACCCUGCUAGGGAGCUGAGACUUCAUUCUAUAAGCAAGGGCGACCUAACAAGCUUCUUUGUUCUCUUGUUAAUCAGGAGGCUGAGUCACUUCGGGAAUGAUUCAGCCACACCAACCAUGAACUCUCAAUGACUUGGGCUAAUGAGGAGAAAAAUGGCAUGGAUGAUCUAAAAAUAAUGGACAACAGCAUGAACCUCAGCCUGCUAUGGAGGGCGCCAGGUCACACCACCCACCAUCUUUCUUUGGAUUGGAUUUCCUCCCCACCCCAUCCUGAUGUCUGGAACAUGAAAGGACUCUGCCCAAGGUGGGGACUUGCAUGUCGUGCAUGAUGCCCACCCUUCUGCAGGUGUGUUCCUCAUGGUGCUCGACCUUUUGCAUGAUGGCCUUGCUUCGGG